This 479-nucleotide long non-coding RNA is filed under the name Equus caballus (horse). Its description in RNAcentral is "lncRNA (ENSECAG00000044673.1)". Lineage: Eukaryota; Metazoa; Chordata; Mammalia; Perissodactyla; Equidae. The record is from RNAcentral.
CUUUUUCAUCCCCAUUCAAAUAGGAUCUGUCAUAAGACAUCCUGAAUAGGAUAUUGAAAUGAUCAGAGCACAGUCUUGGACUCUGGUCCAUAAAGCACGACCUGAGUGCAUGAUGGCCCAGAACUGUGAAAAAGAAGAGGAGUCAGGAUCUCUGCUGGGCUAGAGCCUACGUUCCAGCGGCGGGCAGAGGAGACAGACAAGAACCAAGAAAAUAAAUAAGCAAGAUGCAUUCCAGUAAGCCUUUUCUUCAAACAAAAUCUUAUCCAGAAUGCUCUUCCCGCUGUCAUCACGGAGGCCUCAGCUCAAAUACCACCUCCUCAGAGAGCCCGUCCUUAACCACAGCAUCUAAAGCUGCUCCACCUUUUCCUUCCUCCUAGUCACUCUGUCGCAUUCCCUGUUUCAUCAUGCUCGUAUCACUUACAACCCAAAAUUGACUUGUCUAUUUGUUUACUUGUCUUCCCUACUAGAAUAUAAUGGUC